AAAGGAUCUGGUGAGAGCAUUAUAGUGAAAUAAGUAUUGCAGAAGUUUUGGAAGAAUGGAGAGGGACAAACACAGAAGCAGAGAAAGACAAAGACAAAAAGAGAGAAAUAAUUACUAAAUUGGUUCAAUGUGGUCUCAUUUUGCAGUAUCUAUCAGCUAAUCCUACAAGUAUAAGAAUGUUUCUCCAAGGCUGCCUUCUAUCAAAAUAUGCCCAUGGAUUUAUUUUGCUUGCAUUGACUUUAUCAGCCAUAUUGCAUAUUAAUAAUUAUAAAUAUGUUGGAUAAAUCUAAUGUAAUAUUAACCAUAAUAAAUUGAUGAAUAUAUUUUCUCCCUUUCUCUCCAUCUCUGUCUCUCUCUGCCUCUUUUUCUCUGUCUCUCUCUCUCUCUCAAUUGAGUUCUGUCUUCAAGAAGAAAUUAUCUCUAUUUCAGAAGGAAAAAUCUGCACUUGAGCUUG
This 454-nucleotide long non-coding RNA is filed under the name Homo sapiens (human). RNAcentral's name for it is "HSALNT0232083". The record is from RNAcentral. Lineage: Eukaryota; Metazoa; Chordata; Mammalia; Primates; Hominidae.